GUUCUUGAGUUACCCAUGAGUUUAAUUCGCCACUCUAGGAAAAAUAAGCUAGCGUUCCGAAGGCAGUGGCAUGGAAAACUAGGGUCCUGGAAAUGCUGACCUAGAACCACGGUCCAGAAAACGCAGCUUCCUCUAUUGCAGGGACUGGGGCAUACUUCUGCUCACAGAGAGAGAAUACUGUGAUUUGAAACCAGAUAGCUCAGCGCCAGAGGCCUCUGCGGAAGGGAUACAUACCAACCCUAUCCCCACACUCGUGGAUGGAGGCUACCGGUGAAGUUUGCCCAAUUAGAUAUAAGAUGCGUGAGAUACAUGGGUCAGAGAGGAAGGGGGCCCACUGAGAAUGCUUUUGAAUAGGGCCCAGACUUUUGUGCUACACCCCUGGCUGCAAAGGACUAAAUGGUAGACGUGUGUAAUAACUCAUUUCAUCUGGAAAGGUACUUUAUGACACAUCGCUUCA
This is a long non-coding RNA of Gadus macrocephalus (Pacific cod), 457 nucleotides long. RefSeq lists it as uncharacterized. NCBI's taxonomy places the organism in Eukaryota, Metazoa, Chordata, Actinopteri, Gadiformes, Gadidae. The transcript has 3 exons. The record is from RefSeq and is a predicted model, not a curated record.